GGGAGUGUAGCUCAGCGGUAGAGCAUUCGACUGCAGAUCGAGAGGUCCCUGGUUCAAUCCCGGGCGCUCCCU
This 72-nucleotide transfer RNA is filed under the name Penaeus chinensis. Its description in RNAcentral is "tRNA-Cys". It matches the Rfam family "tRNA". Rfam says of the family: Transfer RNA (tRNA) molecules are approximately 80 nucleotides in length. Their secondary structure includes four short double-helical elements and three loops (D, anti-codon, and T loops). The record is from RNAcentral. Lineage: Eukaryota; Metazoa; Arthropoda; Malacostraca; Decapoda; Penaeidae.